Molecule: ribosomal RNA, 480 nt
Filed under: uncultured bacterium
Lineage: Bacteria
Description: partial 16S ribosomal RNA
Rfam family: Bacterial small subunit ribosomal RNA
Source: RNAcentral
GAUGAACGCUAGCGGCAGGCCUAACACAUGCAAGUCGAGGGGGAGGUUACUUUCGGGUAACUGAGACCGGCGUACGGGUGCGUAACGCGUAUACAAUCUGCCUUUCACUGGGGGAUAGCCCGAAGAAAUUUGGAUUAAUACCCCAUAGUAUAGUAAUACGGCAUCGUGAUGCUAUUAAAGCUUAGGUGGUGAAAGAUGAGUAUGCGUUCUAUUAGCUAGUUGGAGAGGUAACGGCUCCCCAAGGCGAUGAUAGAUAGGGGUUCUGAGAGGGAUGUCCCCCACACUGGUACUGAGAUACGGACCAGACGCCUACGGGAGGCAGCAGUGAGGAAUAUUGGACAAUGGUCGGAAGACUGAUCCAGCCAUGCCGCGUGCAGGAUGAAGGUCUUAUGGAUUGUAAACUGCUUUUGUAAGGGAAGAAUAAGGGCUACGCGUAGUUUGAUGACGGUACCUUACGAAUAAGCAUCGGCUAACUCCGUG